CCUACGGGAGGCAGCAGUGAGGAAUAUUGGUCAAUGGACGAGAGUCUGAACCAGCCAAGUAGCGUGAAGGAUGACUGCCCUAUGGGUUGUAAACUUCUUUUAUAUGGGAAUAAAACGUUCCACGUGUGGGAUUUUGUAUGUACCAUAUGAAUAAGGAUCGGCUAACUCCGUGCCAGCAGCCGCGGUAAUACGGAGGAUCCGAGCGUUAUCCGGAUUUAUUGGGUUUAAAGGGAGCGUAGGUGGAUUGUUAAGUCAGUUGUGAAAGUUUGCGGCUCAACCGUAAAAUUGCAGUUGAAACUGGCAGUCUUGAGUACAGGAGAGGUGGGCGGAAUUCGGGGUGUAGCGGUGAAAUGCUGAGAGAUCACGAAGAACUCCGAUUGCGAAGGCAGUUCACUGGACUGCAACUGACACUGAGGCUCGAAAGUGUGGGUAUCAAACAGGAUUAGAUACCCGUGUAGUC
RNAcentral lists this ribosomal RNA (460 nucleotides) under uncultured bacterium. RNAcentral describes it as "partial 16S ribosomal RNA". It matches the Rfam family "Bacterial small subunit ribosomal RNA", at positions 338 to 795 of the family's 1533-position model. The record is from RNAcentral.